Molecule: unclassified non-coding RNA, 269 nt
Filed under: plant metagenome
Description: partial contains small subunit ribosomal RNA, internal transcribed spacer 1, and 5.8S ribosomal RNA
Source: RNAcentral
UUUCCGUGGGUGAACCUGCGGAAGGAUCAUUAAUGAGUUGUCAUGGGGUUCGAUGCUGGCAGCCAAUUUUUGGAUGCAUGUGCUUGCCCUAACAAUCAUCCUCCAAACACCUGUGCACAUUUUUGAGGGAGUCUUGAGUUGGUUGCCGCUCUUGGGUGAUUUUCUCACAUUCCCUUAAAUCAUUAUACGCUAUUAACAAUGUUGAACGUGCUCUGUGCCGCAAGGCUAUUAAUAUAAUACAACUUUUAACAACGGAUCUCUUGGCUCUC